RNAcentral lists this unclassified non-coding RNA (377 nucleotides) under uncultured Glomus. RNAcentral describes it as "SSU rRNA". It matches the Rfam family "Eukaryotic small subunit ribosomal RNA", at positions 569 to 953 of the family's 1831-position model. Lineage: Eukaryota; Fungi; Glomeromycota; Glomeromycetes; Glomerales; Glomeraceae. The record is from RNAcentral.
AGCAGCCGCGGUAAUUCCAGCUCCAAUAGCGUAUAUUAAAGUUGUUGCAGUUAAAAGCUCGUAGUUGAAUUUUGGGUUUGGCCGAUUGGUCCGUUCUUGUAGCGAGUACUGGUCGGUUGAGCCUCACCGCUUGGGGAAGCGUAAUGUCCUUUAUUGGGUGUUGCGAAUAUCCAAGACCUUUACCUUGAAAAAUUAGAGUGUUUAAAGCAGGCAUAUGCCAGAAUACAUUAGCAUGGAAUAAUAGAAUAGGACAAUGAUUCUAUUUUGUUGGUUUCUAGGACCGUUGUAAUGAUUAAUAGGGAUAGUUGGGGGCAUUAGUAUUCAAUUGUCAGAGGUGAAAUUCUUGGAUUUAUUGAAGACUAACUACUGCGAAAGCA